This is a non-coding RNA of Anas platyrhynchos (mallard), 7594 nucleotides long. NCBI's taxonomy places the organism in Eukaryota, Metazoa, Chordata, Aves, Anseriformes, Anatidae. The record is from RefSeq and is a predicted model, not a curated record.
GUAGGGUAUAGACAUAGAGCUGCACUCCACCCUUACGUCCUUUCCUUGAUCUAAGCCCAAAGAUCUGAAUUUUAAGCCUGUGACCCUUUACCACUAAACCUGAAGAACCAUGCUGAUGAAGGAAAAGACAAACACUGAGACCAUCUGUGCUACAUGAAGGUUUGUAUCCUCAAGACAGCCAUAAUUCACAUUAAGGUCAUGACACAAGUUACAACCAACAAUACCAGAAAGGCUGUGUCAGCACUGAGGUCACCUGCCCUUCUAUCUCUGGUCCCAGGCAAGCCUACAUCUGUUCAGAUUCAAAAGGAAAACAGCUCAUAUACACACAAACACAUGUCAGGACAGGGAGGAAGAGACAAACGAAGAAGUCAGUGAUACGGCUGAAUGCUCUUGGUCAACUCAGGCUAGCCUAGAGGAUUCUAACAGCCAAGAAAAAAGGUCACAGAUGGCUAUUCCACAUCCUACACUGCCUAAUGCUAAUGGUUGCUGUGAGUAUAAAGGUCUGUGAUGCAACUCUGCAGCUGCAGUGCUGAAUUGGUACCCAUGGAAGCUCUGGCUCAGGAGUAACAGAAAAUGCUGCUUCAGAAAAGUAUUACUGAGCAUUUCUGGAUAACAGCAUCUAAUGCAGAAUGGUGACUUUUGAAGGAAAAUACGGAAUGUUAUUUUAAGGGAAAGGAAUAACCUAUACUAGUCUAUAAAUUAAUGUCAGCAACAUUCUUGAGGAGUCAUGAAGAAAUUUCAUCACUGAAUGGUGAUAUCUGGAAUGUGCUUCCUGAAUUAUUUGUCCUAGCACAGACAAAGUUUAUCGGGAACUUGACUGAUAAGUAAAAUAGACAAUUCUUGCCCCAAGGACAAGAAUGUGAACAUGGGAGGAGUACAAGACAAAGAAAAACAAAGGCUGAAAAAGGAGGAAAGAAAGCCAAGAACAUUCAUUUGGCUAAUUAAUUUUCUUAAGCAUGCUCCAGAAAGGUUCCAAUUUAUAUGAAUAAGUACAUUAUGGAUCAGCAUAGUUAUUCCAUAGUGUAAGCUAUUCCAUACUGCAAUUUCAUGUAUAUACUGAUGGUUACCAAUCAGUAUGUUAUAUCCAAGCCUGUUGAUUUUCAACUGUCAUUUAGUAGCAAGACAAGGUGAAAAGUUAUAUAGGCUUAUCUGCACACUUCUGUAGCAGGGAUCCAAUACCUUUUCUUUACAGUUCUGAGAAAGAAUCUCACCUACUUAUAUGUGUAUUUGGGAAAUGAUUAGAAGUGAAGGCCAACCUUAAUAAAAUAAGAAUAGGGAUCCUACAGAAUGUGUGCUAUCAACAUAAGUAUUAUCUGUUUUAAGAUGGAGGAGGUGUACCGAAGCUGUUGAUUAGUAUAUGAGAAGAGAGGUACCAGUAACCUGCAAGUGCUUAAGUACCUCUCUUUUUCUAUUGUCUUCCUUACUUUUAAUUAUAUGGAUCAAAAAUAGAAUCAUCCAGACAUCUCUUGCUGGUUUGGUAAUAUCCUCAUUAUAGAGAAGCAUAAGCUUUCCUCUCUGCUUAAUAUCAAAAAAUGCUGAAGAGUCAGUAAGUCAUCUUAGGCUUAUUUGUUAUCAGAUCUAGCGCCUCAGCCAUCUGCCUCAACAGCUCCCCAAACUGCUGAUAGUUGUCUAGCAGUGAGACUAUAACUACUGCCUCCAAAUCCUCAGGAGUUGUUCAGAAAGGAAAGCUGAUAUCAGUUUAUUCACAUACCUUCACCAUUGUAAUAUAUCCAUAUCUAGCAGCUCAGAUGGGCAUAAACAGGAGUUAUGAUUCUAGCUCUGUAGGGGAAGUGAUACUAUAAGAUAAGAACUCGGUUUUACAGGAUAGGAACAAUAAUAACACUCAUAAUUUUCAGCUAACCGACUGACUUGAUUUCACAUACCCAUUGAAGACAAUUGUGAGAACAGCCAGGCAGAAUUAGAAACAUAGUGAGGGAGACAACAUCAUGGUAUAAAUUUCUUAUAAACAGAAUUGAAAUUUCAGACCAAAUCAAGUCUUUUGCAACACUUAGAAUCUGUCACGUGAGCUCUGCAGGAGAAUCCAUAGGCUUGCACUAGACUUACCUGCAUGAGGCAGGUGCUACAUUCCCAAAAGAGUGCCCAAGUGAGUAAAAGGCUAAGCAUGGAGUCUCCCAGAGGCAGCCAGUGGGAAGUGGCAAGUAGAACCAACUGUCUAAAAUCUUGCUUUUACCUCAAGACUCAGGAUUUUGCAUCCAUCCUGGAGCUACAGCUCAGAACUUUUCCUUAAGAUAUUUAUCUUCUUGAUAGAUAUCCAUUGCUUUUCCUUUUGGGUGACACCGACUACUUUCUUUAAAAGCAAGUUGUGCCUCGGGACAGUAGUGAUACCUGCUUUCCACAAAUGUGUGUUUGUUCAGCGUUAUGCCCUUUUAGAAUAAUAAUGUAAGUUUUCUAUAUGUUCUACCAGCUGAAAGGUAGUAUUAGUAUCAGCUAAGGCCCGUUCUGAUGCCUUGUAUGUGCUGUGUGUAUAAAACUGGUACAUUAGCAAAAACCCAAGCACGCUUACUGCAAUCCUUGUCUCACUGUCAAUCUUUACACUUGCAAUAUGGCAAUAUACUUGCAAUAUUGGCACAACUGAGUUGUGCCAAUCUUUCUCUCACUAUGGGCACGUUGUUGGAUCUCUCCCCUCUACCCAGAUGCUUACUUUGUUAGAAAUUCUACCACUUCUCCAGUCUGACUGAAACAAGACAAUAGGUUAGAAUAUUACAGGAGUUGAGGAGGGCAAAGAGUUACAGCAAAGAUAUAUUGUGGCCCCAUAACCCUUGUAUUCUUAGGAAGGCAGGUAAAGAAAGAUGGGUGAGGGCUGCCUUAGUUUUUAUUUUAUGAAAAUGUAGUGGUGAAGGACCCCUCCAGGAAGCUGGAAACACAUACAGCAUUGUUCAGCUCGUGUGGUUUCAAAUCUGAACCUUUCACAAUCCAGAAGAUUUCACCUAAUUAUCAAAUUAGUUACUCAGAGAGAGUCUCUUUUGACCUUUACGUAUAUGAGUUAGCAAUAAAGAAGCUGUAAGACAGACCUUUUGUUAGAUCAUGAACUCGUGCCAAUGUUUCCGAACAGAGACUCCCAAAGUUUAGCACCUGAAUCCAAUUUUAGGCAGCUACCUGAGCAGGCUGAUCCUGAGCCCUUACCAGUUCCCAAAUGAAGGCUGCAGUGAAACAGAACAUCUGUACGUGAGGCUAGUUACUUAAAUACAGAUUUACAUGAAUACAGCUACAGUGCCAAGUUUUAAGUGUUUUGACUUGAACUAACUUCCUAACAGAUGGUUAUUCUGCAUCUAUCUUCAUUUAUUUAUGGCUGUUUAUGUUUGCACAGAAGUAAUAACUGAUCUAAAAGUGAUACAAGCUUAUUCCUUUUCUUUUUAAUUUAUAUUGCAAUAACACUUAAAUAUAUGAUUAUAAUGUGCAAUCUAAAGAAAUUACAUAAGUAUGUUCUCUCUGUAUCAUACUCAUAUAUAUUUAAUAUAUUUAAGAAAUAUUUAAGAAAAAAAUGCUACAACUAUAAUGCAAAGUGAACAAAGAUAAAUUAGCAUCAUCUAAUUUGUAACAUUGCUCAAGCUUAAGCUAUAUAUUAACAACAACAAAAAGAAAAACAAGAACAACAACAACAAAACAGACAAAAAAUCUUUAAAAAAAACUGAAAAAAAUAAAGAGAAAAUACAUAAGUAUAUAUAUCAGAAGCUUCAGAAAAUGAAUUCAACAAAAUUCAUCUAAUGUUUCUCAGUAACAGAAAUCCAAUGUGAUAUAAAAUGCAGCUCUUGGUGUCACGAGUAGAUAUGUGUCCGAUUCAGGAAAUCGUCAUGUAAGUGUAUGAGUGAUUACAAAAUCAGGAGUAAAGUGUGCUUAUUUAUAUCAAAACAUUUCAUAACUAAAGAAGAAGCAAGCAACCCAGGAAUCUACAAAGUAUUAAGAAAUAAAGGGCCUGAUACUGCUUUCAGCUCUAUUCAUACCUCACCAUGUAAGUCAAUGAGUUUCAGAACUAUAAAUGAGCAAGUUAGCAUCUGUCUGAUCACCACACUGAUCAAUUAGCUUAUUUGCAAUACGAAAAGUACUAACCACAUUUUUAUCUCACAGUUUUUUUUUCACAGUACCAAAAGUACAAGAAAAUCACAGCCAUCCAUUAUUCUAACUGCAAAAGGCAUGUGUGACUAUCAGACUUUGGCAAUGAAUACCAUGAGAAAGAAAACUUUUCAGCUUUGAAGCUGUAGCUAUUGAUAUGUAAGUUAUAAUAUCCAAGGAAAACAAACUUUGCAGCAUUCAUUUGCUUACAUUCAUCGCAACAUGCAUUUUUAAUACAUAGCUUUAACUACAACCACCUGAAGAAGAUUCAGAAGAUCAUUACAGUUGUCACCAGUUUAGUAUACACCUAUAUGUGCACUGAAACAUCACUUCAUUUGUACUGAGAGAUCAGAUCUAGAAGGAAAGACAAGGAAAUUUUCCCACUGAACAAUAAUGAUUGUUUGUUUCCGUAAGCCAAAUAAUUUUUUCAGGAAAGAUUAACUCAAAAAAUUAUUGAUGUAGAACAAUUUUCAUCACAUCAGCUGCAGAAAUCCACUGGGGAAAACAGAAAGGAGAAACCCUCAGGCCACAUUUUGUAUGACCUAAUUCUUUCAAGGGUAUGUUUCUGCAAAUUUUUAGGAAGUGACAAUGCAAAUGAACUAUAGUUCCCACUGUGAUAUUUUCAUGGAAUCUCUGCAUGACCUCCAAACAGCAUACUUUGCACCAAGACAAGUACAUAGCUGUGUUGUAUAGUUUAAUUACUUUGGGAUGUAAGCGAGCAGAAAAACAAUGAUCACACAUUCAGCAGAAGCUACACUUCUAUAAAUUUCUGGUAUUCUAGUACUGAGAUUCUCAAUUUCCAGUCUAUACACUGCUACCAGUUAAUGAUUAGUCUACUACUAUUUUGGUGAAAUUGCACUCCAGUCAAGGGAAAGGGAAGUAAAAAAAAUGAGGAAUAAAACAAACUAAAAUUGUUUAAUUACAGCAUCAGCUGGACUCAGCUGUGAUGAGGUCAUCUUUCUAUUAAAUUCAAUGCACUGAAUUCACUAAGAGCAAGAUCAAACUCUAUGAUUUUAUUUUCAUGGGUGAAGUUUAAUAGAAAUGUGGAUUAACUUUUUCGUCACAUUGUUAAAUUGUUUUAUAUUAACAUAAACCAGAAUACAAACAUUCUGCUCUCAGAGUAUUUCUAGGAUCUGUCCAUUUACUUUCAGUAGGUUUAGUGGCAUGCACUUUAUUUUGAGGGAAACUAUGUUUCUUUAAGAAAGAAAAAUAGUCACUCCUUUGACUUUAUCAGCAUUUCAUUCUAAUAGCUUUCAAUGUCAGACAACCGUUUCUUACUUAUAAGAUUUUAAAUCAUGCUGGCUUGUUUCUAAAUGAGUAAUUGCAGUUCAUAUGAGUGUGCAACUUAUGUUUUUAAUUUAACAACUGAAGAGCACAUUUUAGCUAUAGUUGAUAAAAACAUGAUAAUUAAAAAUGAUGCUUUAAGAAUGUUACAGGAUUUUAUCUCAAAUAAUAAUAUAUGUGCAUAACCUGAUAUUAAGCUCUGUAUUUCUCCUGUAGAACAUUUAACUAUCAUUAUAUUUCACGUUUGACUCCCCUCACUACCCCUUCUCACUCCCUCUACCCUCAGUUAUUAAUGGGCAUUCACAACAGCUUUACUAGCUAUAUAUAUUGCAAUUUUUCUGGGUUCCUGACAAAUGAGCUCACACUUGGUACAAAAAGCAUUGAUAAAAUCUGAGUGCCCAUAAACAUAUAUUCCACUGAAAUAUUACGUAUGAAGCUUUUCAUCCCUACACCUAUUAUUUAAUAAAGAAAGGUCAAAAAUAAUUUAGAUAAGGCAGAACAGCAUUUUAAGUGAAAAAGGUCAGAUGCAGAUAAUACACAUUUUUCACUUUAAAUUGUACACAAAGUUUGUUUGCAGACCUUUGAAGUGGAUGGGAAACUUGAGUGUUUACUCAGCUGGAACUUUAGGUAUUUCAUAUAUAAGGCAUAUGUUCCUGUAAACAGUCUAAAUUGACUACUACAAGCAUAGUGCGAUGUUGUAUGCACAUCUCUAAUGUUCCAUAAAACAGAUCAAAAAUGUAAUCUGGGCAUCAAUUGUUUAAUGCUUCACAGUGACUAUUCACUAGUAGGUACAUUGAUAAAAUUUUGUAUUUAAUUUUCUAAGAGAACCAUAACCUCUUAUUCUUUAAUUAGUCCAUGAAUACAAGGAAAUAUAUAGGGAAUACAUAUACUGUCUCUAUAUGUUUUUCCUUUUAAUUCUGGAUUUCCUCAAAAAUUAUUUUCAUAAUCAUCCUUAAUGUACACUUCUAUAGUCAGGAAUAUUUUCAUUGAGGAAAAACUGUUAAAGUCCACGAUCUCGGCUGGCAAUAGUUCCAUCAUGCCAUUUCUUCAUCUCUAAUGUGUGUAACAUUCUCAGCUUUCACCUUUCCCAGUGUCUCACAGAAAUCAGCUCUUAGGACAGAGCAGUUGUGCAAAUUCAGAUUUCAUCAAGAUAGAAAAUGAUACAAGUGAGAAGAGAAUAUUCUGUUGAAUUUUGCUAAAGCUAUAAUCUUCCAGCCUAUCACUUUACUCUGACAUAUUCUCAUGCUAACCAGACCAUCAAAGAAAACCAUUUGUAUUACUUGGCAUUGUAGAGUGACUGAAUAGCUUAAAAUUUUGUAAAAGGCCUUUUUCCACCUGAGUGACUAGAAGGCUGUAUCCAAGCCUUCUGUAUAAUGAUUAGGUCCUGGCUUGCUCAUUGAAAACUGUUGGAAUGAAUUACUGAAAUUCAUAUUACUUUGAUACAAGUACAACAAACUUUGAUUAUUGGUAUCCUUUAAAAUUGGUAAGCCAAAGGUGUGGUCUCCAUCCUAAAUGUCAAAAUCCUUUAAGAAAUGUUUUACUCACAUCUUUCAGAGUAUAUUUCUCCAUGAGGAGACUGUCAUCCUCAGUUGCUCUCUUUUGCAUUAAUCAUGAUCUAUCAAUCUGAAAAACAAAGCUCAUGGGAGCAGAAUAUAGGGUAAUUCAAUAAACAGAACUAAAAGAUUUCAGAUUCCCUGUCAGAGGAUAUUAGAUUGACCACAGCUCUCUGAGCUUUCUGAACAAAGCUGAAAAUUCACUUCAAAUUAGUAUCCUCAUAGCCACUAUACAAAGCAGCUAUGAAGAAGAAAAUAGGACAUGGAUCAGGGUGGAAAAGGUGAGAGGUUAAGUGUAAAUUAGAUUGCUGAGUUAUUGUGAUUCUAAUUAGUUUUUGGAAACUACUCAAAUCCUAUGAUAGGUAACAUUAAAAUAUUUAUAUGAGAAGGUGACAAAUACUUUGCUUUGCAGAAGUAUUUAAUGCUGGGAAAUGUUUUAACAGAAAACAAUAUAGCAUUUUUAAAAAUUUUACAUUUAAAUAAUUAUGUUAAGUAAUAAAUGUUUUGUGGCUGUUAUUAUAAUCACAAUUGAUUGAUUAGUUGCAAUAGUUUCUAGAAAGGAAAAUGGUUUAAAAGUUAAGAAAAUGUGCUAUUUAAAAUGUGUGUGUAUAGUACCUUGUAUUUGUAAUAAGAUAUGGAUCAUAACUGUGUAAUUGACUGGCAUUCAAUUAAAAAGCUUGAAAUUA